This 853-nucleotide ribosomal RNA is filed under the name uncultured bacterium. RNAcentral describes it as "bacterial SSU rRNA". It matches the Rfam family "Bacterial small subunit ribosomal RNA", at positions 26 to 912 of the family's 1533-position model. The record is from RNAcentral.
AGGACCAUUGCUGGCGUCCUGCCUAAGACAUGCACUUCAAACGGUGCUCCCGCUUCGGUGGUCGCAUAAAUGGCCCACGGGUGAAUAGCCCGUGGUAACCUGCCCGGAGGUACGGGGCAUCUCCUGGAGACUGCUCCUAAUACCUUAUGUGUCCUGCGGGACAUACAUUGCAUCGCCCUGGCAUGGGCCCCCGUGUGACUACCUGGUUGGGGGGGUUUCGGCCCACCAAGGCUACUAUCCUUAUCUGGUCUGAGAGGAUGAUCAGCCCCACUGGGACUGAGACACGGCCCUGACUCCUACAGUAUGCAGCAGUGGGGAAUAUUGCACAAUGGGCGCCAUCCUGAUCCAUCAUUGCCACGUGAGUGAUGAACGCCUUCAGGUUGUAAACCUCUUUCACACGCUACGAUGAUGAUUCUUCUGUGAGAACAAUCACCUUCCAACUACGUGCCAUCAGCCGCGGUAAUACCUAGGGUGCGAGCGUUGUCCGGAAUUAUUGGCCGUAAAGGGCUCGUACGCGGUUUGUCACGUCCCGAGUGAAAACUCCCGGCUUAACCCUGAGCCUGGUUCCAAUACCGGCGUACUAGAUGUACGUCUGGGACAACGGACUUCCUGGUGUAGUGGUGAGAUGUUCACAUAUCAAGAAGAACACCGGUGGCGAACGCAGCUCUCUGCGAUUUAUCUGACGCUGAAGAGCGUUAGUGUGGGGAGCGAACAGGAUUAGAGUCCCUGGUAGUCCACACCGGAAACGUUGGGCGCUAGGUGUGGGGGUCCUUCCACGACCUCUGUGCCGCAGCUAACGCAUUAAUCGCCUCGCCUGGGCAGCACGGCUGCGAGGCUAAACUCAUAAGAAUUG